This 253-nucleotide ribosomal RNA is filed under the name uncultured bacterium. Its description in RNAcentral is "partial 16S ribosomal RNA". It matches the Rfam family "Bacterial small subunit ribosomal RNA", at positions 524 to 776 of the family's 1533-position model. The record is from RNAcentral.
UACGUAGGGGGCAAGCGUUGUCCGGAAUCAUUGGGCGUAAAGCGCGCGUAGGCGGCCCUGUAAGUCCGCUGUGAAAGUCAAAGGCUCAACCUUUGAAAGCCGGUGGAUACUGCAGGGCUAGAGUCCGGAAGAGGCGAGUGGAAUUCCUGGUGUAGCGGUGGAAUGCGCAGAUAUCAGGAGGAACACCUAUUGCGAAGGCAGCUCGCUGGGACGUAACUGACGCUGAGACGCGAAAGCGUGGGGAGCAAACAGG